AUACGUAGGCGGCAAGCGUUGUCCGGAUUUACUGGGCGUAAAGGAUGCGUAGGCGGAUGUUUAAGUGAGAUGUGAAAUACCCGAGCUCAACUUGGGUGCUGCAUUUCAAACUGGAAGUCUAGAGUGCAGGAGAGGAGAAGGGAAUUCCUAGUGUAGCGGUGAAAUGCGUAGAGAUUAGGAAGAACACCAGUGGCGAAGGCGACUUUCUGGACCAUAACUGACGCUGAGGCUCGAAAGCGUGGGGAGC
RNAcentral lists this ribosomal RNA (247 nucleotides) under uncultured bacterium. RNAcentral's name for it is "partial 16S ribosomal RNA". It matches the Rfam family "Bacterial small subunit ribosomal RNA", at positions 523 to 769 of the family's 1533-position model. The record is from RNAcentral.